GAACGCUAGCGACAGGCUAACACAUGCAAGUCGAGGGCGAUCACGGGAGUAGCAAUACAACUGGUGGCGACCGGCGCACGGGUGAGUAACGCGUAUGCAACCUACCUAUCAGAGGGGAAUAACCCGGCGAAAGUCGGACUAAUACCGCAUAAAACAGGGGCACCGCAUGGUGAUAUUUGUUAAAGAAAUUCGCUGAUAGAUGGGCAUGCGUUCCAUUAGGUAGUUGGUGAGGUAACGGCUCACCAAGCCGACGAUGGAUAGGGGAACUGAGAGGUUGGUCCCCCACACUGGUACUGAGACACGGACCAGACUCCUACGGGAGGCAGCAGUGAGGAAUAUUGGUCAAUGGGCGGGAGCCUGCACCAGCCAAGUCGCGUGAAGGAAGAAGGAUCUAUGGUUCGUAAACUUCUUUUGCAGGGGAAUAAAGUGCAGGACGUGUCCUGUUUUGUAUGUACCCUGAGAAUAAGGAUCGGCUAACUCCGUGCCAGCCGCCGC
Molecule: ribosomal RNA, 495 nt
Filed under: uncultured bacterium
Lineage: Bacteria
Description: bacterial SSU rRNA
Rfam family: Bacterial small subunit ribosomal RNA
Source: RNAcentral